CAAAUGAAUUCAAACAAACAGAAGAUUCACCAUCCUUCACGCUACAAAGUGGACAAGCAUGCACACAAUCCCAUCUAACCCUUGCAUGGGCCUGUAAUGGACAAAAGUUAAAAAAACACAACCACCGCCACUAGGAAUCAUUUUGCAUUUGUAUGUUUAAACCUGAUCCUCAAUGCUUCAUCGUUUUGCUAUGUCUUUAAUUAGAUUAUGCACUCUUUGGAAGGUGUGUAGGAAUGCAGAGCGCUCUCCAGUUUUCAGCUCGGAUGAUGAGAUUAUGAAACAUCACCUGAAACAUUAUGAAAUUCAAGGAAGCACCUCACGAUCUGUCUCCCUUGCUGUCUUCACCCUGGUCUCUCUGUCUGCUAGUCUUGCCAGGUCCCGUGUUCAUGACAUGACUGUCCUGGACCUUCUCACCACCGAGGCACCCCAAGCGCACAGACAAGCUCUGUGCCAGUCAGCAGAGCAGAGACAUGAAGAAAAGUCACUCCAGGAAUGCCAAGAAAUAAUACAAAAGAGGCCUCAAGAGGGUAGAGAGAAAUGGGCUGAAAACAAUGUAGUGAGAUUUGGCUCAGAUGGAAGUGAAUAA
This 586-nucleotide long non-coding RNA is filed under the name Crocodylus porosus (Australian saltwater crocodile). Its description in RNAcentral is "lncRNA (ENSCPRG00005005014.1)". Lineage: Eukaryota; Metazoa; Chordata; Crocodylia; Crocodylidae. The record is from RNAcentral.